RNAcentral lists this ribosomal RNA (216 nucleotides) under uncultured bacterium. Its description in RNAcentral is "partial 16S ribosomal RNA". It matches the Rfam family "Bacterial small subunit ribosomal RNA", at positions 118 to 351 of the family's 1533-position model. The record is from RNAcentral.
UGGGAACGUACCUCUUGGUUCGGAACAACACAGGGAGACUUGUGCUAAUACCGGAUAAGCCCUUACGGGGAAAGAUUUAUCGCCAAGAGAUCGGCCCGCGUCUGAUUAGCUAGUUGGUGAGGUAACGGCUCACCAAGGCGACGAUCAGUAGCUGGUCUGAGAGGAUGAUCAGCCACACUGGGACUGAGACACGGCCCAGACUCCUACGGGAGGCAG